UAUUGACAUCCUAAUUUUAAUAGGUAAUUUUGAGUUGGUUAUAUUUAGUUGGUAUUUGAAAUUUUUUUACCUAAUUGAUAUAUGAAUUUGUAUUCUGUUACAUACUUUUAAAAGUUAAAAUAUAGUUUUGUCCUUCUGAAUUUAUUCAAAAAUAUCUAGUUGAUAUUUAAAUUUGUCCAAAAUUUUAUACUUUUUAAAAGAUUUUUAAUUUUUUUAACUUAUGUUCGCCAUCUGUUAUAUUGAGGAACUACCAUCAGUUCCACGUUAACACAAACUAAGAGUAUUUGUGAGGAGGUACCAAUUUAGAUGAUGAAAUACAAAUUCAAAUACCAACUAAAUAUAAAAAAAAUCAAUACAAACUAAAUAUUUUAGACAAAUUUAAAAGACAAACCACGUAUUAACCUUUAAAUUUAAUUACUAUAGCAAACGCAUUAUGACAUGUAUGUCAUGUAGAGUGUUACCGGUAUGCUUUCUUAUAUGCUUUCUUAAGCAUAAAAUUAAUUAUUUGUAUUUUUUUUUGCUUUAAUUAUUAUUUCAUGUCGAUUGAAUAUUAGUUUGAUUAAUAUCGGUAUUGUUGUCAAUACAAAAAGAUGUAUAUUUGAGUGUACUGAAACGUAUUAUCUUGAAAAAAAUUAUGAGUAAUUCUAGAUAUUAUAUAAAAAAACAAAAACUAAGAAUCGAAAAUAAAAAAAUCUUAUUUUAUUUUUUUGUAUAUUUUAUUAUUUUAUUUAAUGUAUUCUACUUUUAUAUAUUUAUAUAAAUUUUAAAUCAUUUGUAUAUAUUAUUAAUUUAUCAUGUCCAGCUUGGAUUACACUUUUUUAUUAUUUCCUUUUUAUCUUUUUUGUGCUUUAUAGCCCCUCCUCAGCCCCAUCCCCCUAACCAAGAAAGGCAAAAUUCUCAUGCAGUCUCUAAUGAAGCAACAUUUAUCCUUUGGUCAUUUUUAAGGUACUUUACUAUUUUUAAAAGGAAGGUAGGAGAAACAUAUACCUCUUGAUCAUUGUUACUAUUUUUUAAAAUAUUUUAGUUUAUUACUAGCAAUAAUAUGAUUCAUUUUGGAUUUUUGAAUUUUUUUUUGAAAAAAAAACAAACACUACUCCUCGUAGAUGGUAAAGAACAAGCUUCAUCAAUAUAAUAAAGGCUUUAGCCUCAAUAUCAAUAGAACAUUAUGACACGUUGACAAUUGGCUUUGUCACAACUCAAGCACGACAUAUAUGGAGUGAUUGCAAUCACUUAACAUGAUAAUGAAAUCAGCAUCGGAUAGUCUAAAACAGCGAGCAAAAAUCAACAAAAGAAUCGAGCAUUCACCAAACUAUAGAGGACGACAAUAAAACCAUUCCUAAAAUCACUUGUAAAAGUAAGAUUUCAUGCAUAAGCAAAACUAAAAAUCAUGCUACAAGAGCAGAUAAAAACUUCUAAAACUAAAAAUUUAUUAACCAAUGGAAAAACAAUUAAACAAAAAAACAUAUAAAACUCAAGACAACAUGGGGCCAAAUUGACUCGUGAAAUCAUUUAUUAUUCUGAAAUAUUCUCGAAACAUAAACAGAUUAAGAAGAUGUCGAAGAGCCACCCACUUUCCAAGAAAAACUACCGGUGGCCAAUAGAGUUUUAGCAAACGAUAAGUAUUAUCAUCUAUCCAUCACAACUUAUGAAGAAAACAAAGAUAGCUACAAAAUAGAUAUGCAAACUAAAAAAGAGAGAAGACAUGUGGAGUGAAUGUGAAAAAGAAAGAAAGAAAGAGUUAAUGGGAGGGAGAAAAAAGCGAGCGAUAACCAACCUGGAACUGACGUCGCCGCUGGACAAAACCAAAUAUAAGGAGUACGCUUUGAGGAAAAAGAGAAAUUUUUAAGGUUUAAUACAACCUAUUAUGAUUUUUGAAAUAUUUUGAAAUUUUUUGUAAAAAAUAUUACAUUAUUCAGUUUAUUAAUCAUAAUAAUAUAUAGUAGAUCAAAUACAAACCCUUAAAACUAAAAUCAGAAUAUAUUGAUUAAAUUACAAUGUAAGCUUCUACUAGGUAGCCUAUCGAGUGGAUCCUUGGGAACAUUUCCUUUCUAUAUUAUGUCUUUAACUUCUCUGGUUUAUCAGAGAAUAAAAAAAAGGUAUCAAACACCCAGCUUUUCACUUUUUGAUUAUUAUACUAUCUUCACCAUUAUUUUACUUAAAAAACAAGGCACAUGCUUGAAUGAAAUCUAUAAAACCCCUUAAGCUAGAACGGCCAAAUUAGACCAAGAAAAAAGGAAUUCAGCAAUGCCAAGGUUGGCUAAUGGCUAGCUUCUCUUCCAUGUCUCAUUAUGUUUACUUAUACGUUAAUUGUUUUGGUUUGUAUGAAUUUUUAUCCAUAGUUUUCUUUUCACUAUUCUACAGUGGAACCGGCGAUCUAGAAGCUUCCACCCCCACCGAUGAUAAAGGACCGUUGGAAAAUCUGCGAGAAAUUCACCAGAAAGCGUUAGAUGACCUUGUGAACGUGAACUCGCUCUUCACGCUGGCCGUCUUCGUGGGGUUAUCGAUGGCACGUCAAGGCGAGCGUAGCCUCGAGAACCGCACUGAAUGCGACGCGGAUGUGGGGAACGCGAGGCGGCUGGUGGUGAACGAAGUGGUGUCGUUCGCUUGCUUCCUGUUGUCGAGCCUGGUAGCCAAGGCACUUAAAAUCCAUGUCACCAUUUGCCAAGAAGAGGACUUCAAGAAUACCCGUAACCAGAGUGUGAGAUUCUCAAUGCUGAUGUUGUCGGUGUGGGCGUCGGUUUUCGGAUGCAUAUUCCUUACGGUAUCCAUGGUGGAUGUGAUCCAAAUCAAGGUGGGAAAGCUUUCUUGUAGGAGUGUCCAUGCAUGGAGGGCUGCCGGAGCACUGAUUGCCAUUGUGCUCCUUGCGCUUUCUAUUUACGUCCCCUUUAUGAUGACUGCAAUAUUCACUUCCGUCAGGAAUGUUCAAAGAAAAGUAGACAAGAAAUAAUCAUUAACAAUGAUCAUCAUCAUCAUCAUGUUCAAAUAUGCAAUAUUUCUUCUUUGUUUCUUAAAUAAACGUGUGGAACUCGCUUAGGUAAAAGGGUUCAAAUGGAGAGGAUCUAAAGAGUCCAUUUUUUAUAUAAUUGAAGUGUUUUUUUUUUAAUAUUCUUUUCAUUAUAAAUUUAGAGGAACAUUAUGAGCACUGGAAUCAAAAUUUAAUCUAUAAUAUCAAUAAAUAACAUUUUUUAUUUAAUUUAUGAGUUUGUAUUUGAUAUAUUGACUAUAUUUUUUUUACUAUUUGUAAAAUUAUACUAUACCGAGAUUUGUCAACCCAUUUAACCUUAUUGGCAGUGUGCAUGUGUAAUAUUUCAAUUUUCAUACACACUUUCAAUAAAGUGGGUAUUGAGGAAGCUUGGUCAUAUAUUGGUAUAAUGACAUUUUUAGUCCUCUAGCUUUAUAAAAAUAAAUGGUUAAUUUAGUCAUUCAUUUCAUUUUUCGUCUAUUUUAGUCUUAAAUUUAUAUUGUUUGUCAAAUUACCCUAAAAUAGAUGAUAUGUUAAUUUUGCUGAUGUAGCAUACAUGUAGAUUGCCACAUGUAUGUCACGUUAGCAAUUAAUUUUUUUAAAUUAAAUUUUUUAUAUUUUUAUACUUUUUAAAUAAUUCUAUUUUUUAAUAUUUUUAUAAUUUUUUGAAUUUUUAAUUUUUUAAAAAAAUUAAUUAAUUGUUGAAAUCACGUAGAUAUCACGUCACAAAAUUAACAAACAUUAACUUUUCCAACCAUUUAAGGAUGGUUUGAAAAACAACGUAAAUUUAAAGACUAAAAAAAUAAAAAAUAAAUAAAUGAAAGAUCAAAUAAAAUUUUUAAAAGUUAGCUCAUUUCAAUAUAAAUUUUGCAAUCAUUUUCAUCUUCUAUCAAUUUGAUUUCUCCUUCGUACCAAAUAAAAUCAUGCAUGCGCAUCAUUUUAUUUAGAAAAUUAUAAAAAUAAUCAUUCAAUUAUUUUGUUUUCUAUUAUGGUCACUUAAUUAAAUGCUUUAAUCACUUACUUAUUAGUUGGCAUUAGAUGAGAUGGGCUCAUUGGGCCUAUCUCAUUGACUGAAUAUAAUUAUAUGUGUUAUGUAGACUUCUAACUUACACAUUUGAUUUAUCCAACCCAACAACCAAUUUUUUAUUUCCAAAAAUUUGUUUAUUUAACUAAUUAAAAUUUAAUUAAUUUUCAAAUUAAAUUAUUUUCUCAAUCCAAUUCUAAUUUCAUUAAAAUCACGAAGUCUUUACCGUACUAAAAUUGAUACAAAACUAUGAUAACUAAUUAAUUUAACUUUUCCUCAAACUUUAAUUAUUUAAUUACAAUCAAUUAAAUAAUAAUUCAAAAAAAUUAAUUUAUUUUAAUCUCUAAGUUAUCUCUUACUCACAGCGAGAAACUGCAUUCACUAUAGAUAAUGAUACGUUUUAUCUAUUUUUUAAUGUCAUUUUCAUUUAUCAGUUCUAAUGCAAUCUAUAUAAGGUUAUGUUGAACUAACGGAGAGACUGAUUGAACACGUAUAAUUAAGGUUCAAAUAAUUUGUAGUUAAAUUCUAGCUAAAUUUGAAAAAUAUGUCAAUUUUUUUUAGUAAAUAUAAUUUUUAUAUGUGUAAUAUUUAUUUUUCAAUCAAUAUCAAGAGUGUAGUAAAUAUUUUUGUAUAUGUAUUUAAACUAUUUUACAUAUAAACAUAUGAUGUUUCAAAUAAUUAAAAAAAAUAUUUCACAUAUAAAAAUAUUUGAAAUAUCAUACUCACAAUGUAGAUGAAAAAACAAUGUUAUUUGAAAUAUUUUACAUAUUAAAAUAAUAAUUAUAUUCGAAAUAAUUAUUUCAUUUUAUAAUAUUAGAAAUCACCAUACCCACAAUAUACAUGGAGAAAAUAAAUAUUUGACAUAUAAAUAUUAUAUAUAAAGAAAAAUAUAUCAAAAAAAUUAGUUGAUGUUUAUAUUAUAUAUAAAGGGGUUAUUAAUUUCAAAUAUUUUUAAUAUAAUUAUAUAUGUAAAAAAUAUAUUUUUAUUAUAUAAUUACAUAUUUAUUAUUUGAUUUUAUGAAUAAAAGAGUUAUUAAUUAAAAAGAGUGAAUUAAAAAAUUGAAAAAAAUAUAUAUUUAUUAAUUAAAAAAUUGAAACAGUAUGAAAUAAAAAUUACAAAUGUGUUUAGAAAAGGAGAAUUAAACCUAUAUUUCAAGUAGGAAUGAGUAUUCAAUCGAGUCGAGUCGAAUCGAGUAAAAAAAAUUUGAGUUAGUCAAUUUGACGAAUCUUAUUUUAACAACCUAACUCGAUUUGAUUUUUUUCGAAUCAAGUCAAAAAAAUUCAAGUCAAGUCAAGUUGAGUUAACGAAUCUUAUUAUUUAUACUCAAUGUUGCGUUUACAUGUACUGAUUAUUUAAUUAGUAGACGAAGUAUAAAAUUAUUUAACUACAUAAAUAAUAUAAUGAUUUUACCUUUUUAACUUAAUGGGUAAACAUUUAUCAAAACGACGUAGUUUUGGCUUUUCUUAUUCGGAUUUUGGAUAACUCGAAUUGUGUAAUUCAUAUUUGAGUUAAACAGAAAAAUUUAUUUUUUUAUUCGAGUUGAUUCGAAUAACUUGAUUAACUCAAAUAACUCGAACUAUUUAAUUCUAAAUUUAAUUUUUUUAUCAAAUUUUUCAAAUCGAAUUGAAUUUUACACAUCCCUAAUCUCAAUGAUGAAAUCAUUAUUAUUUAAUCAUUUAAAUAAGGAAGCUUAUAUGUUAAAAAUCUUAAUUAAAAGAAGAAGAAGAAGAAGAAGAAGAAACAUCUUUAAACAACAUGAAAUAAAAAAUAUAAAUAUGAGUGAAAAUUGAACUUGGGACUUAAUGACAAAAUUACUAACACUUAACCCUUCGACCAAAGAAAUUAAUUAUAUUAAAAAAAAUUGCAACUUAAAGGGAGAGAGUGCCCAGCUAGGUGCGUUUUCCUGCCAACUAUGCAAAAAGCACACCUAGCUAAAUACACUUUCACACUCUCUCUUCAAAAACGACUUAUUUCCCUAAAUAAAAUUAAAAAGAUCUAAAGGUCUAAUUAAAAAAAAAUUGACAUAUAAACCUUAUUUACCCUUAAGUUCCAACUUUUCAAUUAUUAAUUAUAAUAUUAUUUAAUUAUUGAGUCAAUCUACUAAAAACAUCAUGACUGAACUAUCUCUAUAUAUAUCAUUACGAAACAAAUUUAACGUAACUUUGGAUGGACGAUGCAUUUAUCUACAGUUAGUGUAAAAACAGUAAUCAUAGUAAAAUUAAAUAUUAUAACAAUACUAUAAUAUAAAACAAAAAAAUAAAUUAAAUACACCAUCCAUCCAAUCCGAACAUUAAUCAGCAGCCUCCAAUUAUUUUAUAAUAUGAGCAUCACUAUCUUCUGCUAUGUAUUAUAUCUUUAUUCUAUGAAAAAUAAAUUACUAACGCAUAGUAAUCGAACGGUUGACAAUCCAUCAUCUUCAAAUCGAGCCGGGCCUUAGUAUUCCUUUUCGCCUUUCGGCUGCAUCGGAUCAGAGAAUCAAUCGCGACUUUCAAAUUAUCUUUGGAUGUCUCUCGGAUCAGAAGAAACUCUUCAUUCAGUAAGUUUUUCCCUCUAAAAUUUCAACGCUGCGAUUCUUAUUUAUUUAUAAUCUUCACUUAAAAUAACCCACCUAGAUUGCCUCCAAUAAUUCACUCUAAUCUUCCUCUAACACACCCAUCUCUUCUCGGAGUGAGGAAAUAGGCGUACUUCAUAGGUAAUUUUUAUGGGUUAUCUUUCUUUGAGGUUACGAAUUUUAGGGUUUUUCUUGACAGAAACUAUUGGGAAACAAAUGCUUAAUUUUGGAGUAUUCGGGGUAUGCAAAAUUUAAUGACGGUUUUUUUUUUCUUUUAAGGAAAAUAAAAUUGUAAUUGUUGGUGUGAUUUAGGAGUAUCUGUCCAAUGAAUAUAGUUAAGUUGGAUUGUUCUGCCUAAAUACCCUACCCAAUCUGUUUUGUUGUAGUUGGAUGGUGGAAGGAAGGAAGAAAGCCCUGUAGAAAAAUGAAGGAAAGGGUUUUGUAAAUGAUUAUGGUGAUAUUGAUUUUGCAAUGAAGAUUGGCUAACUAAUUUUAUGGAAUUUAGUUACCUAUUGAUGCUGCAUUUGUUGUGCUCAGUUCUGGUUUUUAUGAAUAUACCAUUUUGGUGAAGGUAUUGUUUGAUGUCCCUAUACGAGCUGCGUUUCAUAUUCUGUUAUUCAGGUCCUCACUCAGUCCUCUAGACAAAGGAAUAGACUGAAUUCUACGGUUACCUCAGUUAAUCAUAUGUCUCUUUGUUGUUACUGUUUCCAAGUCUUGGUUGAAGAACUGUCUAAAUAAUGGCAUUCCAAAUAACGGUAUUGUUGUCAUCAUCCUAUACUUUUAAUUUGACACUUUCAUCUAAGGAAUUGGGUUUUAAGCAUCCUCCUUAGCUUAAUUAGUUUAUUUCCUUUUCUUAGUCAUAGCUGAAACCAAAACAGUAGGAUCUUGAGCAUUUCCUUGUUUCUUUCUUUAAUGUCCAUCGGUAAGUUAUAUCUUUUGUAUGUUUGUGUAAAUUAUCACUUUCACUUGAUUCUAGAAUUUUCUUGUUGAGUCCUUUACAUCUUUGAAUUUGAACCCAUUCCUACUAGUGGUCACUGAAUUAACGUGCAUAUCUUGUGGUUCAUCUGACCACUUGAAAAGUUUUGAGAACUGUUUCUGACGUGUCAUAUGAUUUGUUGCUAGCAAAUUAUUAUAAAAAUUAUGAUUUGCAUAGCAUGAAAAGGCACCAUACUAUUAUUUUCCUUUUUAAAUUAUAUAAACUUGUCAUUUUGCUUGAUGUUAAAAACGAGGUUAGAAGGUCUGAUUCUUUUCUUUUCCUUUUUUGGUAAUAGUGGGAUUUGGACAAAGAAGGUGGGAAAGCAGACAGCUCAGUUGAAGAAAAAACAGCUGAACCAGAAGGAAGCGAAAUCCUAGAACCGUAUGUGGGUAUGGAAUUUGAAUCUGAAGAUGAUGCUAAGAAAUUCUACAUAGAGUAUGCCAGACGGAUAGGAUUUGUGGUGCGAAUUAUGCAGCGUCGUCGUUCGGGGAUUGAUGGAAGAACACUUGCUCGUCGUCUAGGAUGCAACAAACAGGGUUUCUCUCCUAAUCAUAAGGGCACACUAGGACAAGAGAAAAAGCCACGUCCUAGUUCACGAGAAGGUUGCAAGGCAACUAUUUUGGUUAAGAUGGAAAAGACUGGAAAAUGGGUUGUUACAAGAUUUGAAAAGGAGCAUAAUCAUCCCCUUAUGAUCACAACCAAUGGAUUCAAUACCACGGUGAGGUUCUAUAAAGUUCUAUAUAAGAAAAAUACUUCUAAUUGUUUUAUAUUAUAUAUUAUAUUAGUCUCUCAUUCCCAAUAAACUUGUCGCGUUUUGACUUUUAGUCAUCAAUUUUUAGAACUUUGAUAAAAAAAUAUAGUUAAAAAACUUUUUAGUGAUUUUUAAAUAUCGUUAAUUAAAAUAUUAAAAAUAAUAAGUCAAUGUUAAAAAAAGUUUGACCACCCAAAAAAGUCAAUUAUGACAACUUAAUUUGGACUAAGAUAAAAGGAGUAUAUAUAUAUAUCAAAUAGAGUUUAAAUGUCUUGAACUUUGUUUUUGAAUCUUAUACUUGAGAUCAUUGACUCUUCCUUUAUUUUUGUUGUUUUUACUUUCUUUGCGCAUUAAGUAGAAUGUUCCUAUUUCUGGUUUUCAUGUUUUUGGCUUGGUGCUAAUUGUUUGGCAUGGACAAUUUCAGCUUUAUUAUAUAGAGGGCAGAUAUUUUUAGAUAAUUUAAAAUUAUAGAAUAUGCUGUGGGGUGGGUGAAAUUUUCCCUCAUUGAGAUUAAUGGCUGUGAUUGAAUUUUUUCGGUGACCAAUUAUUUUCUAGAAUUGAACAUAAUUCCUGCGUAAAGCUUGUUUUAUAAUAUAUGAAGUAUCAAUUCUGCGGGCCCCAUUGGUUAAAGCUGGGGAUAGAUGAUAAUUUUGGUGUUACAACUUCUGCUUUUGUUCCUUUGAAUUGGUCAUCACUGAAAAUGCCCCUGGAAGCUUUCUAAUUUAUAGAUGUGUAUAAAUGAAAAUAAAUUCUCCUAUGUAUUGGACUAGGAUAUUUGAUGUCAUGCAAUACGCUGCUUCUUGUUGAACUAGCUUCAGGAAGAGUAUAAGUGCGCUGAGUGUAUCAUUAACACGCUUUCUGCAGAGUCACAUUAUAAGCUUUCUUUGGGAACUUAGGUGUUCUUCUCUGAUAAGGUGAAGGAUGAUUCUUUGAUUGUAAGAGUAGGGACCUUUUCUUUUCUUCUCUUGUUAGCCGAAUGUAAUUAUUUGCUUGUGGUUGUUAAAUAUCUAUAUACUUGCAUAACAGUAUAACAUUCCUCCGUUAUUCACUGCUGCUGCUGGCAAUGAUUGGCUUUUUUUUUGAGUUUUUAGGGUGAUAAGGACAAGAAAAUUGAAGAACUCACGAUGGAGUUAGCGCAUCAAGAGCAAUUAUGUUCAGCUUAUCGAGAAAAGUUGUUUGCGUUCAUUAACAACGUUGAGAAGCAAACAGAAGAACUAUCUUCAAAGAUUGAAGUUAUAGUAGACAAUGUUAGGAAACUCGAAGCUCAAAGGCAGAGAUUUACGCACCGUAGCGCAGGUAGCCUUGGUAUUUAACUUGACCAAUUAAUGCUAUGAUUAGAUUUGUAUAUUUGGUUUCUUGGAAGCUUUUAAUCAUGUACAAAAUUCUUUAGGAUCAUUUUGUUUUAGUCAAGAUGCUUAACAUUUGACAUUGUGCAAUCAAACUAAAAAGCAUCUUGUUAGAUGAAAUUGGAGCUUCAUGAUUCUCUUGUGGAUUGAUUUUGCUAGUAAAAAGGUGGAAAAUAGAAAUAGUUUUGUAAUUUUGAACAAUUUAGUUGUAUGAUUAGAAAUUAGAUACAUUAAUGUCAAACCAACAUCUCUUAAUAUUUUCUAUGCGUACAUAUAUGCACACAGACAUAUAUAUAUAUAUGUAUUUUGACUAUUAACUUGAACUUAAGGCAGCAAAGCUACCACCUUUCAUCAUCUGCUGGAACUCCUCGAAAUUAACCCUACCAUCUCCAUCUGCAUCUACUUUUGUUAUCAUAUUCUUGCAAUCCUCAAUAGUUCUUCCCUGCUUCAACCCUAAUGAUGAUAGAACCGACCUCAACUCCUCAAAUGUGAUGAAUCCAUCUCCGUUUUGAUCGAAGACAUUAAAUGCUUCCAUCAUUUCUUCUUCUUCGUUCCUCUCAUUCACCAUCAUUUGAUACAAUUCACCAAAUUCAUCGAUAUCUACAGAACCAUCUCCGUUCACAUCAAUGUUAUCAAUGAUUUGGUUUAUUUCUUUAUCGGAAAGAAAAAUACUGAACUCCUCGAGUGAAUCGCUAAGCUCUUUCUUUGUGAUCUUGCCAUCUCCAUUCUUAUCAAACAUUUGGAACACCUUGCGAAGCUCAACUAGAUCCAUUUCUUUUAUCAAACAAAACUAAACCCAAACCAAAAUACACCACCUUAGAGCAAAAAUGAUAAGAGAGAUGAAAAUUGGACUAUUGAGAGAGAUGGGAAAGGUAAUUAACAAGGAAAAUCAAUGGAGAAUUAGUGUUGAUUGUUGUUUACAAUUGUGAAGAAAGAAGAGAGGGAUAUAAAGGAUGCACACUAAAACAAGCCUAACGAAAUCAGUUGUUAAUAAAUAACAAGGUGAGAGGUUUUCCUUUUGUGGAUGUGAAAAGCUUUUUAAGUUAAAAAAAAAAGUGAUAGAAUUGGGCUAAAAUUAGGCAUCUGUUCGGUCAUUUUAGAUUAGUUCAAGAAUUGGACCGUUAAUAAAUGGAGGCAAAAAUGCUGAACACUUGGAGACUUGCCAUGAUGUCAUUGCCAACCAAGGUAACAUUGAAUGGAUUGAGGUUCUACUUACACAUAAUGUUUUCAAUCACCUUACUUAAAAUCUAUAUACUUCAUUGAGUUAUAUUAAUAAUCUUUUUAUUUAAAUAAUGGUAAAAAUAUAGAUUUAAACCCACACCAAUUAGGUUGAUAAAAUCUUAAAACUUACCAUUUAACCAAAAUUUCAUUUUAAUAUAUUUUAUAAAUUUUUAUUUUAAUAUACAUAAUUUACUAUCACCAUUAAUUGUAUAUAUUAAUAAUAUUAUUUAUUAAGUUAAUGUCACAUAUCAACUUGACACUAACUCACAAUUAAUGAUAACAUCACAAUAAAUAAUUGUAAUAUAUUUAGUACUGUUAUUUUAUUUUAUUCACAAAUUAAUCUAAAUAUUAUACAUUAAUUAAUUUCAAUAUUUCUAGAAUGAAUUAAAUAUUUUAUUCAAAUCCGAUUCAAAUUAAAUUGAUUUUAUUCUAGCUUUGUGUAAUACAUCCUUUUACCUUACUUUUUAACCUCUUUUUUUUUUUUUUUUACAAUUAGUUUAAUUUAAGAACAAUCAUAUUUAAAAUAUCUAUUACAACAUUUUUUUCUUGAAAACAAAAAUAUUAAUUAAAACUGAAAAGAGAAUAAUUAAUAUUAACAAAAAAAAAUAAAAAUACAUCAUAUUCAUCCAUCAUUUUUUGCUAGUUCUAUUUAAUUUAGAGAUCAGAAAGCGGAAAAAGAAAAAGAGCAGAUUGUUAGCAAUAUGAUUUCCAGUUCUCACCCAUUUAAUUUCACCAAUUGAAUUUGACCAUAAUCGGUUCUAAUGUAAAUUAGUAUAAAAACAUAACAACAAAAUUAGAUACUUAAGUAGCAACACUGUAAUGUAAACACACCACCCCAAGCACCCAUCCAAAUCCGCCCUAAAUCCCAUUCCUUCUAAUGCUUUGGGUUUUCCAUACAUCAUGUAAAGAUCCAUCUUUAUAUCACAAUUCUUCUGCUGCUUCGUCCCAUGCCUCUUCUCUUCUACCCAAUGUUUUAAUUUCAAUUUGAUUAUUACCUUGUCUGGAUAUUUCCGGAGUACUGUUUACAAUCCAUAUUGAUAAGGAAAGAGCCCCAAAUUACGGCACUUUGAACAACCCAUCGCUAUCCUUCCAACCCAAAAUUUCUAUGACCCGAUCAGACGUAGCUAACAAACAAUGAUACUGCUAAUCUAAAAUAAAGAUUCAAAUCUAGAGUCUAUUAGAAAAACAAGUUUUUAUGGUGUAUAUGAACUAAAUCGUGCUCAUCAAGGGUACUUGAUUCUCAUAAUUUACACGCUAUUAUGUUACAGGUUAUGAACAAUCACGCUUACCAGAUCUCACUACUAGGCUUUUAGAAAUGAAAACAGCUGUUCAUGUUUAAAUAACGCAAGGGAAAAAGAGAGAGAAAUGUAUUCCAACCAUGUGCCCAAUAAGAUCAGUUAAAAAGGGAUCAAAUUGGGCGAGUAAGUCGGAAAUCAAAUGGAAUUUGAUGAUAUAGCAAACGAAGAAAUUGCCUCAAAAUAAAUUCGUCUUUACGACGGUUUUGGGACAGAGUGCGUUUGCAUUGAUUUUUUUUCUCCAUUUUUGAAAAAAAUAUAAAGGUGAAUAUACCAGUAGUAAAAGGGCCUGAAAAAUCAGGGAAAAUAUAUCAGAUUCAGGCGAGUGAUACUGGCUGAGAAUUUAGAUAUCGCAAGAAAUUUCAAUUAUUUGAUUGAGUGGGUCGCUUCCAUCUACACCCAAUCAAGAAGCUGACUUGCUUUAUCAUUCCUUCAAUAUGAAAACACACGCACACACAAACAAAACGGCAAAGGGAGGGACGCUACCGAGAACAGGAUGAAAGAUGAGGAGGUAGGAUGCUAUAUAUAAGGAAUUGAAAAUUAGGGCUAGGGUUCAAAUUUUAUUCAUGAGGUUUUGGUGGUCGGAGUUUUCUUGAAAUAACCAGAGGCCCAAAUUUCCUAAUUUAGUUUAGAUUGAAAAGGCUGGCCCAAGUAAAAUGGCCUUUUGCAUUAAUUUGGGCCACUACCAAAUUUUGUUUGAAUAUAUAUUAUUAAUGUGUUUUUUCAUUUGGCCCAAAUUUCUUAAUUUAGUCAUCAAUGUUUGCAUUUUUCAUUAAUUUGGUUAUUAUUCUUUUUUUGAGUUAAAUUUAAUCUUUAAAUUUUCUAAAAAGAGUCAAAUCAUUUUUUAAUGAAAAUGUUAACUAAAAUAUUAAUUUUUAACGUUUGAUAACUCCUAUGACAGUCCAUAUAUGCAUCAUACUAACAUAACAGUAUUUGUUUUAGAUGUCACGUCAAUAAAUAAUUCAAAAUUUAUAAAAUACAUCAAAAUUAAAAUUUAAAAAGCCGAUUAAAUCUUGACUUAAUUGGUAUGAAAAUUGUUGCUAAUACAAUAGGACGUGAGUUUAAAUGCGCUGAAACGCAUUAUCCUCCUAUUUAUGAGUUAAGAAGGAGAUAUGAGUAGCUCUAAACAUUAUGUCAAAAAGAGUAGAUAUGAUCAAAACUUACGAUGAGGUGGUUCAAAAAAAUUUUAAAAUAUAAAUUUUUAAAAAAUUAGCAUAAAUUACAGUGUCAUGCAAACUAUCGUAUUUAAAAAGUUAACAUUUUAAUUAAUUUUCUCAUUUAAAAAAACCUUGAUUUUGACUCUUCUUCAAAGAUUGAGUACCAAAUUUAGCUUUAAAAAAAAAGAAUAAAAACAAAAAUAUAAACAUUGACAUUAUAAGGUAUGAAAAUUUUGUUGGGCUAAAAAAUAUAUUUACAGAUUUAUAAGUCAUAGUUUUGAAGUAAUAUUUUUGAGCUAUCAACGGUCUACCAUUGGUCCCUCCAUACUAUUAAUAUAAAUGAUUAAACAUACCAUGAGAACAUUAGCCAUUUGCACCACAGGAAAUUCAUGAGGUGAAUAUGUCAUGCAACAAAUGAUCUAUAUGACAAAUAAAAUUACUAUUGAGAUGACAAAGCAAGGUUCUCAUGUAGCAUAAGUGGUUUUGAACAAUAUGACUACGUAAAAAAGCUUUGUAGAAGCAAAGUGAGCAUCAGCAGUACAUACUUUUGCAGCUAAACAAGCAGGUGUAUGCCAUUUCGCAAAUCAAUUAAACAUUCUCCUUUCUUUUUAAUUUCUCAAAAAUGCUAGAGGCACCAUCCAAAAUCUUACAACCAAGCUAAACAAGCAGGUGUAAUGCCAUUUCGCAAACCAAACUAGUGCAAAGACACAAGUCCUCCUCCACUACACUCUCAGACAGCUACAUUGUUGAGUGAGGGACAUCCAAGCCAUUUUACCUGACAAAAAACAUUUCCUUUUUCCUCCACCAUUCUCAUCUAGUAGAACAUUAAACCAUAUCUUGGUCUUGGAGUUCACAUGCUAGAAUUGAAACAACAUUAAUAAUUAUGGCCUUCAUAUCUAUAAUAUAAAACAUGUUGAGAUCUACUUUGGGAAAAAAUCUGGAGUAUCUUGAGAUAUAUACAUUGAAAACCAUCAAGUAAGCUGCGUACAUAGAACCUAAUGGAACUCAAAGGAGUUCCAAUCAAAUGCACCCCUAACCAGUUAAGAGUAAAAAGGAUUCCAUUUUUACUGGGAAAUAGUAAUUCAUAUUAGUAUUAGCAGUACAAAUCCUGAAUCACAUUCUUCUCAUCUUAUUCUUUCAUUUAUCAUAAGCCAAAUCUUUCAACUUCAAACAUAACUGAAGAAAAAGCACUGACUGAUACAGAAAAACUAAAAGUUCCCAAACUCUCAAACCCUUUAGUGGAAAUAAAAUGCAUCUAAAAGCUGGCCUUUAGCUUGGAAUGCACAAGUAAUUCAACUUAUGGAUAUUUUAGCUGAACUUCUUUUGUUUGUAACCUAUAAUAUUUCAAACCAUCAGAUAUUUUAGCUCUGCUCUGUACUCUUGAGACAUAAGCUAAGCUAAUCUUGAAGGGGAUUAUUGGAGAUAAACUAUCAGGUGAACUAUUUGAGGCAGUAGGUUUUCUCGUGUUACUAAGAUAUCCAAUACCCCAUCAUGUGAAACGAAAAUGCAAUUUCUGACAUGGUCAUGGACUAGCCAGAGAAGUGUAAGCAGUCUGAUGCUGUACUUAUCCAAUUUAUUCCAUGCAUGGAGUCACCAAACAAAAACACUUCUUUUCUCAUAAAAAUUAGACCAUGUUAAACCAUAUGUAUAACCUAUAAUCAUUUGCAAUUUAACUGGGCUCUGAGGAAGUAAGUGAUCAAACCUUUAGAAGUAAUGAACCAAAAGUUUCCAUCAAACAUCUUUGUUACCUCAAAUUAACAAAACCAAANNNNNNNNNNNNNNNNNNNNNNNNNNNNNNNNNNNNNNNNNNNNNNNNNNNNNNNNNNNNNNNNNNNNNNNNNNNNNNNNNNNNNNNNNNNNNNNNNNNNNNNNNNNNNNNNNNNNNNNNNNNNNNNNNNNNNNNNNNNNNNNNNNNNNNNNNNNNNNNNNNNNNNNNNNNNNNNNNNNNNNNNNNNNNNNNNNNNNNNNNNNNNNNNNNNNNNNNNNNNNNNNNNNNNNNNNNNNNNNNNNNNNNNNNNNNNNNNNNNNNNNNNNNNNNNNNNNNNNNNNNNNNNNNNNNNNNNNNNNNNNNNNNNNNNNNNNNNNNNNNNNNNNNNNNNNNNNNNNNNNNNNNNNNNNNNNNNNNNNNNNNNNNNNNNNNNNNNNNNNNNNNNNNNNNNNNNNNNNNNNNNNNNNNNNNNNNNNNNNNNNNNNNNNNNNNNNNNNNNNNNNNNNNNNNNNNNNNNNNNNNNNNNNNNNNNNNNNNNNNNNNNNNNNNNNNNNNNNNNNACCUUGGUUAGUUUACAUUAUGGAAGAUAAAAUGGAUAUGGGAGCAUUUGGUCGGCGGUUUCAGGUGAUAAAUUCUAUGGAAUUUAAUUCAUAUGUUAAAAUUUUCAUUUGUAAUAUGAAUAUAAGCAUGGUUAUUAAAUUGAGUCUCUUUUUUGUUGUAGAAAAAACAAUUAGAUUGAUGGGAACUCCUUCGUGAAUCAAUCGUGAUAUGAAAUUCAAUAAUAAACAUUUCUUGCUUCAUUUCCCUUAUUUCUUGCUUGGUAAACAAUUGAGUGGCUUUAUAUGCUUGAAUGUUGCGUUUCAGUUGUUUUGUUGAUUAUUCUUUAAUCUUGAGUUUUCCCUGUUCCAUAUCAAAUAUUGGUGUAGUAUGAGUUCUUUAAUCUAUAUGUUCAGGUCUAAACCUUGACAGCAUCUAUUCUCAUUGUCAUAAUUCAAACUGGGGUUUGUGACCUUGUGUAUAUCAUGGUCAUUGGAUGGGGGUGUAUUUCUCCCUAAGAUUUUGAACUGGCAGUCUUGUUCCGAAGAAAAAAAAGGUUGAUUUUACCUUUUCUCCCCUUCUAUUUUCUCUGACUUUGGGAGGGUUGUUAAAGCCUUGCUCAAUUAGUGAACUUUUGGGUAUCUACCUGAUGUGUGGUAGCCAUAUGCUUAUUUUCUGGGCAUGCAAUGAAGUAGUGAGAGGCUUUCUAAAAGAUUUUGCUUUAGCAUCUAAGUUAUUCGAUUUUGUAUUGGCUAAAUUCAGAAUUUGAGAAUCACUGUGUUCAUGGUAUACUCUAUUGUAGCAUUUUGCAUCAGCAUAUAGAUUGUCAUAUUAGGUAUUUGAUGUGUAACUGAUCUUGCAAGUGAUCAUAACUUUCCCUUGAACAACUUGGUACUGGAAUGUUGAAGAAGAAAUUGGAUGUACCUUGUCUUUUAAGCUGUGAAGAUUGGAAUGUUUAAAUUGGGCGAAACUGCUAUAAACCAGUGUAAAAUUUCGGUCUACUUUCCUUGAUUUUCUCUAUGUAAAAUUUGCAGUGUGUCUAUAUCGGCUGCAUCAGAUGGGUUUUAAUUUGCUAACAGACUACCGUUAAAUAUGUCUAGUAAGUUGAAUUUUGUCCCUAAUGUGCGCAACUUCUAUCAUGGACACUGUCUUUUGCAUGUUAGAUGUAGAUUCCUCCUUUGCUGUCAUUUGGAACACUUCGGUUUCAUUUUUCUGAUGGGAUUGUAGUUAAAAAGUUUGUUUCUUAAAAUUAUAAUCUCUCAGGUAACCAUGCAAUUUCUUUUUCCGUUAUUUGGUCCUGCAAGGUAUUGGUGCUGAUAUGUUCAAAUGUUUAGCAGUUAGAUGCUGGUUAUGAAAGAAUGGAAACUUUUUAUAUAGGCAUACUAUGAACUACUAAAACCUUUAUAUCAAAGUUGUGAUUUUCAAACCUUACCAACUUAGUACAGUCUGCAAAACAAUUCUUUAUUUAGUUUAGAAAGACAUGAAAUUAUUGAAAUGUUGGCAAUGGAGAAGAUUGAAUUUGGGUAGAAGAAUGAUGGGACGACAGGCCAGCUUGGCCUUGGCGGGGGUUGAGUUUAUACUAUACUACUAUAUGGCAUGUGAUGUGAUCAUUGAUCACAGUUCACAUGCCAUGCUACCAUGUUUUAGGAGGCAUUUUGUUCGUAUAUUGAUUUCCCCAUCGUGUUUGUGUUUGUAUAUCUUCAACCUACAUCUGUACUUAAGUAUCGGAUUUAUGAAAGGAUAAUAUAGAAUUAAUUUUGAUGAUUAUAUAUAUGUUUUUGGCAUUUUUUUUAAUAGUAAUAUCUACCAGUGAUAUUUCAGUCUGUGGAUCUUGACUUUCGAGUGGUUUUAUUUGUUUGUUUUCCAAAAAAAAAAAAGGAAGUCGGUUUGGAAGAUGUGAUACUUCAUUAUUUCACUUGAAUUAUUGCUAAAAUAUCUGGUAUCAAUCACCCCAUCUCUGCGUGUGUGUCUGUCUGUCUCUCUCACCAUGGGUGCCCCAUGGAGGUACUUAGGCUUGUUGCGGUUGCUCCCAUUUGAUUAACUUAGGCUUAGUAUUGCUUUUUUAUAGUGCUUUUGAGGUUAAAAGCACUUCUUGCUUUUCAAGCAAGUAAUGCUAAACAAACAAUUUUUGGGGUCAAAAAGACUAAAUGACAGUUUUAUCCCUUUUAAUAUAUUUUAUAUAGUAUUUAUAUUUUGUAUGUAAUUAUUU
This 17738-nucleotide long non-coding RNA is filed under the name Gossypium barbadense (sea-island cotton). Its description in RNAcentral is "long non-coding RNA (GBAR_LNC006678)". The record is from RNAcentral. Lineage: Eukaryota; Viridiplantae; Streptophyta; Magnoliopsida; Malvales; Malvaceae.